Danio rerio (zebrafish) is the source of this 115-nucleotide ribosomal RNA. NCBI's taxonomy places the organism in Eukaryota, Metazoa, Chordata, Actinopteri, Cypriniformes, Danionidae. The record is from Ensembl.
UCCGGCAGAUAACUCUCUGCAGCUCUCACAUGGUUGCCCACUGAAGCUAAGCAGGGCUGCGCCCGGUCAGUACCUGAAUGGGAGACCACAUGGGAAAGCUAGGUUGCUGCCCGCA